AAAAAUUUUUGCAAAUUGGAUGGAAAUGAUAUCAAUCUCUUGGUUUACCCUCAGGGAUCCUCUCAAAUGGUGUUCGUAAUGAUGCUUGUUCCUGAAUCCACUGGUGCAAUCUUAUCGCUGGGAUCUUUCCUAGUAAAUAGUGCAUAUCCUAGGUGCAUAAAUGAAAAUUUUGAUUUGUUUAUUGGUUGGCUUAUAGAGUUGAAAUUGAACCAAAGGCCUUCCCCCGUUAUUUCCUUAGUUCUGUCACUGACAGGGUGCCAUGUGUUAUUCAAGUUAACCUGAUUAAUGGAUGAUGAUCAAAUGCAUCAACACAUCGAACUGUCUUGUCAUAUAAGAUCUUGCAUAAGCAUACUACCGGUUUACCUGCCCAGGCCACCAAAUAUAUGUCCAAACUGGUAAUUUAAUAUGUUUUCUGUCUUUGAUGGUUCAAUGCUCACUAAAAAGUGCUUCUCUAUAGAUUCAUAAUCAAACCAUGUGAAAUGUGAAAUUCAAUUUGAACAACACACCCCAAACUGUAUGUAUAAAACAUUUGCA
Molecule: unclassified non-coding RNA, 534 nt
Filed under: Hevea brasiliensis (rubber tree)
Lineage: Eukaryota; Viridiplantae; Streptophyta; Magnoliopsida; Malpighiales; Euphorbiaceae
Source: RNAcentral